RNAcentral lists this ribosomal RNA (468 nucleotides) under uncultured bacterium. RNAcentral's name for it is "partial 16S ribosomal RNA". It matches the Rfam family "Bacterial small subunit ribosomal RNA", at positions 28 to 507 of the family's 1533-position model. The record is from RNAcentral.
GAUGAACGCUGGCGGCGUGCUUAACACAUGCAAGUCGAACGGCAAAGCCGUAGCUUGCUGUGCUGGUCGAGUGGCGAACGGGUGAGUAACACGUGAGCAACCUGCCCUUGACUUUGGGAUAAGUUCAGGAAACGGCGUCUAAUACCGGAUAGGAGCUGCUACUGCAUCGUGAGCAGUGGAAAUUAUCUGCGGUCGGGGAUGAACUCGCGGCUUAUCAGCUUGUUGGUGGGGUAGUGGCUUACCAAGGCGUUGACGGGUAGCCGGCCUGAGAGGGUGACCGGCCACACUGGGACUGAGACACGGCCCAGACUCCUACGGGAGGCAGCAGUGGGGAAUAUUGCACAAUGGGCGGAAGCCUGAUGCAGCAACGCCGCGUGAGGGACGACGGCCUUCGGGUUGUAAACCGCUUUUGGCUGUGACGAAGCGGGAGUGACGGUACCGGGAGAAGAAGCACCGGCUAACUACGUG